Molecule: ribosomal RNA, 1224 nt
Filed under: uncultured bacterium
Lineage: Bacteria
Description: bacterial SSU rRNA
Rfam family: Bacterial small subunit ribosomal RNA
Source: RNAcentral
UAGUUGGUGAGGUAAUAGCUCACCAAGGCAACGAUGUCUAGGGGUUCUGAGAGGAUGAUCCCCCACACUGGUACUGAGACACGGACCAGACUCCUACGGGAGGCAGCAGUGAGGAAUAUUGGUCAAUGGGCGCAAGCCUGAACCAGCCAUCCCGCGUGAAGGAAGACUGCCCUAUGGGUUGUAAACUUCUUUUGUAAAGGAAGAAAGUUAGCUACGUGUAGCUAUUUGCCUGUACUUUACGAAUAAGCACCGGCUAACUCCGUGCCAGCAGCCGCGGUAAUACGGAGGGUGCAAGCGUUAUCCGGAUUUAUUGGGUUUAAAGGGUGCGUAGGCGGGCUCUUAAGUCAGUGGUGAAAUCCUGCAGCUUAACUGUAGAACUGCCAUUGAUACUGAGAGUCUUGAGUGCGGUUGAGGUAGGCGGAAUGUGUAGUGUAGCGGUGAAAUGCUUAGAUAUUACACAGAACACCGAUUGCGUAGGCAGCUUACUAAACCGUAACUGACGCUGAUGCACGAAAGCGUGGGUAGCGAACAGGAUUAGAUACCCUGGUAGUCCACGCCGUAAACGAUGAUAACUAGCUGUAUGCGAUAUAUAGUAUGUGGCAAAGCGAAAGCAUUAAGUUAUCCACCUGGGGAGUACGGUCGCAAGAUUGAAACUCAAAGGAAUUGACGGGGGCCCGCACAAGCGGAGGAACAUGUGGUUUAAUUCGAUGAUACGCGAGGAACCUUACCUGGGCUUAAAUGUAGAUUGCUUGAAUGGGAAACCGUUCUUUCUUCGGACAAUUUACAAGGUGCUGCAUGGUUGUCGUCAGCUCGUGCCGUGAGGUGUCGGGUUAAGUCCCAUAACGAGCGCAACCCCUAUCGUUAGUUGCUAGCAGGUAAUGCUGAGGACUCUAGCGAGACUGCCGGUGUAAACCGCGAGGAAGGUGGGGAUGACGUCAAAUCAGCACGGCCCUUACGUCCAGGGCUACACACGUGUUACAAUGGCCGGUACAGAGGGCAGCUACAUAGUGAUAUGAUGCAAAUCUCGAAAGCCGGUCUCAGUUCGGAUCGGAGUCUGCAACUCGACUCCGUGAAGGUGGAUUCGCUAGUAAUCGCAUAUCAGCCAUGAUGCGGUGAAUACGUUCCCGGGCCUUGUACACACCGCCCGUCAAGCCAUGGAAGCCGGGGGUACCUGAAGUCUGUCACCGCAAGGAGCGGCCUAGGGUAAAACUGGUAACUGGGGCU